Medicago truncatula (barrel medic) is the source of this 1768-nucleotide long non-coding RNA. RefSeq lists it as uncharacterized. The transcript has 2 exons. Lineage: Eukaryota; Viridiplantae; Streptophyta; Magnoliopsida; Fabales; Fabaceae. The record is from RefSeq and is a predicted model, not a curated record.
UUCUUCAAUUCCGAAUUCAAUUUCAUCUUCGAUUUUGAAAUUGAUUUUCAACUUCGAUUUCGUAUUUCAUUCAUCUUCGAUUUUAUUUGAUUUCGUCUUUGAUUCUGUAUACGAAUUCAUCUUUCUGUAUUCAAUUUCAUCUUCAAUUUCGUAUUUGAUUUCAACUUCGAUUAUGUAUUUGUUUUCGCAUCUCCUUGCUUAUUUUUCUUUCACUUUGGUUUUAUACGUUGAAAAGAUGGUUGAGAUGAAGUGUGAGUUUUGUAUUGUGUUGGUUUUUGUUAUGAUUUUGCUUUUGUUGUGCUUCAUGGUAGAAUGUUUGUUUUGUGUUUGAUAAAAUGCUGCAACCAAACUUUAUGACACAAUGCCUGUUUUCUGUUUGAUAAAAUGCUUCAAUCAACCUUUAUGGUACAGUGCUUAAUGUUUGUCUGAUAAAAUGCUUGAACCAAAUUUUAUUUACUUCUCUAAUCUCAGAAAUGUGAUUCUCCUGCAUCUAUGCUCUUAAAAAUGUUUUUCGAUUCUGCAAAAUGAACAGAAUUGUUUCUUCGGAAUGCGAUUAUGUGUAAAUUUUAGAUUCGAUCUUAACUAAAAUGUUGGAAACUUAGGAUUGAAGAAAUGGAUAUUAGUUCCUCGAUGAUACAGAAGCCGGUCAGUUUCCCGUCACGCACAACCAAACUAUUGCUGCUUUAGCUCCGACAGUGGGUGGCUAUCAGAGCUAUUAGAAACCUGUAAUAGUGCAAAAGCAGACUUAAAGGUUUAGUUUUUAAUAAGAUAUUAAGCAGCGGACGGAAUAAUUUCCUCAUGAGUAUAUCUUCCCCACAGAGCAAAGCAUAGCACAUCAAGAGAAAAAAAGGCAGGGACAAGGUAAAAUUUGCUAGGUCAAUAACAAAAUGGUUUAAAGGGGACCUUAAUGGAGCACAAGAAUCUGCAAUUGGCUGCCGUUGUUAAGCUUUCAUUUGGUUAUUUCUACUUUGACAAUGAUUUCUUCACGUUUCCUUGUCUUUUUUGUGGAUUUAGUUUUCUCGUUCCUUUCUGACUCCCUGUGUUCGUAACUGGGGUUUUUUGUUGUGAAAUUUUCUCAGCUCUUGUUACAGCGGAUAUGAUAUACUGUGAUUUUAAAGCUGCAGCUAACCUUAAUAUUACGAACAUGCAGACCCUUGGAUUUUACGGUUCAUUUUCUUGCCUUGAAUGUACUUGUUCUGGAAAAUAGGUGUCCUUUGGCAUUCUAAUGUGUCAUUGUUUAGAAUUAUUAAACUAAAUAUUAGGAGAGCUUCAACAAUAUUUAUGAUUCUGUCCAUCUUUCUUGGAUAAUCAAGAGAUACACUUCUGUUUUGCAGAGGGCUAAAGUUUGGAUAUCUACAACGUUUGGAGAUACACUACUAGUCCAGAUAUAUCAAAGUCGUUCUUUACUGGUGAUGAGAUAAGGAAGGGAUGUCUGCAAUCUUGCUGGCAGAACAUUAUGAAGAUGAUUGCGGAUAAGCAACGACACAAGACAAAGGAGAUUAAAGAGAAGGCUUGCAUUUCUCAUGUGCAGCUUGAUGACCUUAAAGAGAAGGGGGGAAAUUGUUUUGGAUGAAAACUUAAUUGUAGUCAUUUUUGUAUGUAAUUCAAAUUUUGUUGUAUAGUUCAAAUUGUGUUGCAUAGUUUAUUUUCGUCAUGCAAGAAUAAGAACAGAGAAGAGGGGAACUUUUAUAGAGUAUGUAAUUCAAACUAGUUAUUAAAACUUGUAUCUAAUAUUGGUUAAUUCAAAUAUGAAUGAAGUCUAAGCAAA